Molecule: long non-coding RNA, 1700 nt
Organism: Bos indicus x Bos taurus (hybrid cattle)
Lineage: Eukaryota; Metazoa; Chordata; Mammalia; Artiodactyla; Bovidae
Source: Ensembl
CCGGCAUAAUUCCCGAGGACCCCGCUGCAGGGGGCGAGGGGCCGAGUCUGCAACCUCGACCUCGCAGUUUCCCUGCGGGAGGAGUCGGUUCGCGGGGACAAGAGAUCGCGGCUGAGAGCCAUCUCACCUGGUCCGUCUGCCUCCCGCGACGCCACUUCUCCAGCGCAGGAGGCGCCCUGCGUCCUCGCCUGCGCCCUUCUACCCCUGUGCCCAGCUCUCCUCCAGCUCAGCAUCGGAGCGGGAGGGUGUAGGUGCUGGGCGCCCCCGGAGGGCCGGGGAUAGUCCCGGAACCCCCAAACUGGGAAGGAAAUGAGAGUGGGACCGGGAGGCGGCGGCAGGAGAAAAGUUAGUGGCAGAGCGCGGGCAACGGCGAGGGCCGGUGCGCAGUCAUCAGAGACGCAACGGGGCUUGGGACGCAUCAGAGUCCCUCAGUCGCGCGGCUCAGCGGCGUUAUGUGAAUGCGGGACAGCGGGACGCGCCCCAAGUGUGCGUCCCGGGGCUACGCCGAUCGCUGAGCUGGAUGCUGGCGAACCCGAAAAGGGGAAAUCAGUUAUAACAAUGCUUUUGAAUAGGAGCAGAAUGUCUAGAGCACCUGAUCUCCUGACACAGAGCAAUCAACUCCGUCUACAGGAUCAGGAUGGUGAGCUUAGGAAUUCACAGGACCAGUGAGUGACCCAGCCUGGAUCCUACAGGAUAAAAGGGGAGGGAAGCUUGGAGAGAGAGGCAGUAACUCAGCACAAUGAAACCUAAUGGAACAGAACACAGCCUAAUUCCUAGGAGACCUGUGCAGCCACUCUGAGACUUUACGACCAUAUCUGACUUCUCCUGUGGGUGUUCCUUAUAAGGCUGCUCAAAAUUCCCUAACGAGAGGCAAUCACAUAAAACCAGGCUGGCUUCUGCAGGUUGAUGAGUUGGGUCUGGUUAGCAGAAGCCUGCAAUUUCUGUUUGCCUGGUGCCUGCUGGGGACCUGAGGGGUGGGGUGCUCAGAACUUUGACCCACAAGCUGUUUGCAUCUUCAUCCAUCUUUGCUUCAGGGUAGUGACUACACAGUGUAAUGAGACGUCAGAGUUAAAAUAGGUCAUUUCCUAAGGAAAAUGGCAUAUAUCUGAUUUUUUUAUGGCGUAAAGAAACAGGAAAACUCAAUUAGUCAAGCACAUCGGCUGGCUAGUUCCUCCAGAUCACCACUGUUUGGUUUUGCCUUCUGUGUUAAGAGUGCCAUAGGUCAGGAUUGAAAAUAACAUUUCUCCAGGCAACCAGGCUUUUAAUCUCAAUGAAGGAGAAGGGUGAGUAUGAGAGACAAUAGGAAGUAAGGAGGCAGAGACCUGGAGAACACAUCCACGUGUUCCCAUGUUUGACUCAGAGCAUUGCUGGUUCUUCCACGUGUUUUCAAAACAAAGUGUUAAAGUCACUCAGUCGUGUCCAACUCUUUGUGACCCCAUAGACUGCAUCCUACCAGUCUCCUCUGUCCAUGGAAUUCUCUAGGCAAGAAUACUAGAGUGGGUUGCCAUUCUCUUCUCCAGGGGAUCUUCCUGACCCAGGAAUCGAACCCGGGUCUCCUGCAUUGCAGGCAGAUUCUUUACUGUCUGAGCCACAAGGGAAACCCCUGAUUCUGAACUCCCUAACUAUCCCUUCCCUCAUCUUCCCCACCCCUCACCCCCUCAACCAUGAGUUCCUUCUCUAAGUCUGGGUCUGUUUCUAUU